AUGAAGGCCUUCUGGGUUGUAAACUUCUUUUAUGAGGGAAGAAAACUAUGGUUUCUACUAUAGCCGACGGUACCUUAGGAAUAAGCACCGGCUAACUCCGUGC
RNAcentral lists this ribosomal RNA (103 nucleotides) under uncultured bacterium. Its description in RNAcentral is "partial 16S ribosomal RNA". It matches the Rfam family "Bacterial small subunit ribosomal RNA", at positions 408 to 508 of the family's 1533-position model. The record is from RNAcentral.